ACUCCUACGGGAGGCAGCAGUGGGAAUUAUUGCACAAUGGGGAAACCCUGAUGCAGCCAUGCCGCGUGUGUGAAGAAGGCCUUCGGGUUGUAAAAGCACUUUCAGUAGGGAGGAAGGUAGUGUAGUUAACAACCUGCAUUAUUUGACGUUACCUACAGAAGAAGCACCGGCUAACUCCGUGCCAGCAGCCGCGGUAAUACGGAGGGUGCGAGCGUUAAUCGGAAUUACUGGGCGUAAAGCGCAUGCAGGUGGUUUGUUAAGUCAGAUGUGAAAGCCCGGGGCUUAACCUCGGAAUAGCAUUUGAAACUGGCAGACUAGAGUACUGUAGAGGGGGUAGAAGUUUUCAGGUGUAGCGGUGAAAUGCGUAGAGAUCU
Molecule: ribosomal RNA, 374 nt
Filed under: uncultured bacterium
Lineage: Bacteria
Description: bacterial SSU rRNA
Rfam family: Bacterial small subunit ribosomal RNA
Source: RNAcentral